GGACGUGGGGGUGAUCUGCCUUCCACCUCAGCCACCCCGUUGACCUCGAGGGUUGACUCAGCUGGUCUGGCUGGCUUCCCCUUCCUCCCUCAUGGCUCCAUGUGUGUUCCUCCGGAAGCCACAACCUUCCCGGAAGACAGGAGGGUUCCAUCUUCAGUCUCCAGUUAAGGGUAUAAAAGUAGCUGUGCUCUCCAGCUAGAACCUCCAAACAAGCCCUCAAGAAGGGUUUGGUGGGGUUAAAGCAGGUAGAAAAGGAGGAGUCAAGAAAACUCGGCUUCCUCCACUUUUUAGGAGUUAAGU
RNAcentral lists this small nuclear RNA (300 nucleotides) under Neotoma lepida (desert woodrat). RNAcentral's name for it is "7SK RNA". It matches the Rfam family "7SK RNA". From Rfam's summary of the family: 7SK was discovered as an abundant small nuclear RNA in the mid-70s but a possible function has only recently been suggested. Lineage: Eukaryota; Metazoa; Chordata; Mammalia; Rodentia; Cricetidae. The record is from Rfam by way of RNAcentral.